Molecule: long non-coding RNA, 296 nt
Filed under: Gossypium barbadense (sea-island cotton)
Lineage: Eukaryota; Viridiplantae; Streptophyta; Magnoliopsida; Malvales; Malvaceae
Description: long non-coding RNA (GBAR_LNC014222)
Source: RNAcentral
AAAAAGAGAAUGAAAAAGAGCAAAAAGAGAUUGAGAGUGAAAAGGAAUGUGAAACAGAAAAGAAAAUUGAAAAAGAAGUUGAAGAAAGAAGAGAAAAUGAAUUAGAAAAAGAAACAAAAGAAAAAGACGUGGAAAGGGUAGUGAGGAAUGUUUCCACUAACCAAGAUAUGAAUUUUUCUUGUGUUGCUACUUUUCAGGUUCCCGAAAGAUCGAAAGAUAACUUUCAACUUCAAUACCUCUCAAAUGAAAGAUAACUUUCAACUUCAAUACCUCUCAAAUGAAAGACGCUUUCAUAC